Molecule: ribosomal RNA, 510 nt
Filed under: uncultured bacterium
Lineage: Bacteria
Description: bacterial SSU rRNA
Rfam family: Bacterial small subunit ribosomal RNA
Source: RNAcentral
AGCGAACGCUGGCGGCAGGCCUAACACAUGCAAGUCGAACGGACCCUUCGGGGUUAGUGGCGGACGGGUGAGUAACACGUGGGAACGUGCCUUUAGGUUCGGAAUAGCUCCUGGAAACGGGUGGUAAUGCCGAAUGUGCCCUUCGGGGGAAAGAUUUAUCGCCUUUAGAGCGGCCCGCGUCUGAUUAGCUUGCUGGUGGGGUAAUGGCCCACCAAGGCUACGAUCAGUAGCUGGUCUGAGAGGAUGACCAGCCACAUUGGGACUGAGACACGGCCCAAACUCCUACGGGAGGCAGCAGUGGGGAAUCUUGCGCAAUGGGCGAAAGCCUGACGCAGCCAUGCCGCGUGUAUGAUGAAGGUCUUAGGAUUGUAAAAUACUUUCACCGGUGAAGAUAAUGACUGUAGCCGGAGAAGAAGCCCCGGCUAACUUCGUGCCAGCAGCCGCGGUAAUACGAAGGGGGCUAGCGUUGCUCGGAAUUACUGGGCGUAAAGGGAGCGUAGGCGGACAUUU